Molecule: long non-coding RNA, 1257 nt
Filed under: Oryzias javanicus (javanese ricefish)
Lineage: Eukaryota; Metazoa; Chordata; Actinopteri; Beloniformes; Adrianichthyidae
Description: lncRNA (ENSOJAG00000009996.1)
Source: RNAcentral
CCCCGUUAGAUCAGUUAAUACUCAAAUGGAUGCUCUUCUCUUCUGGUCUGUUUGCAUGGCUUCUCUAAUCACGUUGGAUUUUUUUUUUCCUCUUGGUCCUUUUUUUAACAAAUGAAUAUUGUUUGUGUAAUGCAGUCAUAAUAUUUACGCAGGGACGCUGGAGGAGUGAGGUGGAGGCUCAGCCGAGCUGGGAGCACACAAACUCGGAUGAGGACUUGAAGUCCACUCCUGCACAUCCAGCUUGAGGCUGGAAGGGGCAGUCGGCUCCAGUUUGACCACAGGAAGCAGUGAGUUCUUCGGAGAAGGGCAGACGUCUCAGGGGGGGGUGUUCUCCCCCCCCCCCCCCCCCUCCUCCUCCUCCUCCUCCAUUCACCCACUCACUACCCCAAAAUGACCCCUGACCCUUUCAUCUGUUUAUAUCAGAGCAUGGAAGUGAGAAAUAGUGAUGAGUCACUCUAGCCGUGUGUUUACACUCUGGAGUCACGCAAGGAAGGAAAUCAGCCACGGUCUGCUAAAAGUGGAGAGGUGAGAGGGCUGCUGUGAUUUACCUCUCAGGACUAGAGCUGAUUUUGCGUCAUCCCUGCUGCAGCUUUAGCGGCGUGGAGGACUGCGGUGGAGGGAAGAGGCCGACUGCGAGGGUCGAAGCGUAGAGCGCUCACUACACCCUGCCUGGACAUUGUUUAAGGAGAUUAAACCACAAGAAAACUCACAGUGGAUCUAAAUAUUAGACAAUUCUUAUGAAUUAUUGACAGAUACGUGGCUCCAUGAUUGCCGCCUGGAAUCAGGCCCGUCUUGGAAACAUUCCAUUCUGGGUUUCGUUUUGAGAAAGGGGUUUUAUUUUGAUUAUUGUAUAUUUCAGACUACGAUCAUUCAUUGGAAGUUAAAAAAACUUUGACUUGAGUUACAGAAAAAGCCUAAUGAUGUUCAUGCCCUUGUUGUGUUCAAAUGAUGGCGACUUAUUUUUUUGCUAUUUCAUUUCUAAUGUCAGAUUUUUUUGUUGAUUCUUUAUGACAUUCCAAGUCUGGCACCGUAUAGCUUAAUUAAACUUUACAUGUUUUGGCCAUAGUUUAAAAAGAGAAACUAUUCAUAAUGAAGUGAUGAGUUGAUUGUAUGACAGAUGGGUUUCAGUGAUAUAUAUUUAUCAUGUUAGCGGCUUAGAUAAACCAGGCAAUUUAGAUUUUGACGGUUGACAUUUACUUGUAGCUCCUAAACAGAUUUGACACAAAAGUUUUGCGCAUCAGGUCGACUCUCUGUGAU